UACGUAGGGCGCAAGCGUUGUCCGGAAUUAUUGGGCGUAAAGAGCUCGUAGGUGGUUUGUUACGUCUGCUGUGAAAACCUAGGGCUUAACCCUGGGCCUGCAGUGGAUACGGGCAGACUAGAGGUAGGUAGGGGAGAAUGGAAUUCCCGGUGUAGCGGUGAAAUGCGCAGAUAUCGGGAGGAACACCGGUGGCGAAGGCGGCCGGCUGGGGGCGCCCUGACGCUGAGGCGCGAGAGCGUGGGGAGCAAACCGG
RNAcentral lists this ribosomal RNA (253 nucleotides) under uncultured bacterium. RNAcentral's name for it is "partial 16S ribosomal RNA". It matches the Rfam family "Bacterial small subunit ribosomal RNA", at positions 524 to 776 of the family's 1533-position model. The record is from RNAcentral.